Long non-coding RNA from Salvia miltiorrhiza (redroot sage), 610 nucleotides. RefSeq lists it as uncharacterized. The transcript is spliced from 3 exons. Lineage: Eukaryota; Viridiplantae; Streptophyta; Magnoliopsida; Lamiales; Lamiaceae. The record is from RefSeq and is a predicted model, not a curated record.
UUUAACGACUAACGGGUUAAUAUCUUAAAUAUCUAAGGCUACCCCACCAAAACCACCCCCCAAACCACCCAACACCCCUUUAUCUACCUCACUCACGGCUGAAUUCAGCCAACACACUCCAAUCAUCUUUGCUCUCUCACACACACAACACCCAAAACACCUACUUAUCACGCCAAACACCAUUUUUAGCUUGGACGGAGGUUUCAAGCUCCGAUUUGAGCACCGAGACGAGCACCGAUCAUCUUUUCGAUCACGUAUCUAAGUAGGUCCUUUUGGGAAGUAACGACUUGAGGGAGAGAGUGACGUUACUCAUUGAUACAGAGACACAACGAGGUUGAGCUGAUGUGAUGAUGGUGCUGCAAUGAGCGGAGUCUCCAGGGUUGUUAAUAAAUAGUUAACCUGUCUAGAAUAUGUCUUCAUACAUAUGUCUAGCUACUUUCCGCUGCAAGAUGUUGUUGAUGUUAUAGUAUGUUAUGUCAUACUUUGAGUCUUAAGAGAAUGGUUGCAUAUGAUGUAUAACUUGAUUAAUGAUAUUAAUUAACUUUUAUGCAGUCUUUCAUAGACUGUUUUCAAUUGAGUAUUAAUGAAUAAAAAUGACGAGUUUUAUUAA